Erpetoichthys calabaricus (reedfish) is the source of this 3370-nucleotide RNA transcript. It is a transcript of the gene named interleukin-1 receptor accessory protein, with no coding region annotated. The transcript is spliced from 12 exons. NCBI's taxonomy places the organism in Eukaryota, Metazoa, Chordata, Cladistia, Polypteriformes, Polypteridae. The record is from RefSeq and is a predicted model, not a curated record.
CACAGAUGGCAGUCAUGUACUGAAAAUAUAUAUCCAUCAGAAAAGCAAAAGCAAUAAAAAACAAAAUUUCCACUAUAUGAUGUAUUUUAGUUCUGAUGAAGAAGUAAUAAAGUACUGAAUAAUGCUUAUCUAGUCUAUGAUUUACUUGGUCUAAUUUUGUGUGAUUUUGUCUGUACCCUGUGAUAUCUGCCUGAUGCCUGUGUGCUGAGCCAUGCUUGGUCUGAUCUUUUUAGAAGAUAUUGUUUAGAUAGGAUAGAGCUAGUCAUGUGGUAUUACUGCACCACCCAAUGUGAGAGGAGAGGGAGAGAGAGAGAGAGAGACAUGCUAUGUCUUGACAGCCAUGCUCAUCCUUUUCUGCUGUGUGAGAGCCUGAAUCUAGUUUGUUGCAUCUCACAGCAGCAGCUUAGAAGUGAAUAAAGUAACUUACGACCUCUGCACCUCCUAGGCAGUUUUCAAGUUCUUCUUACAAUAGGGAGUUUCUUCCUUGCUUUUUCAGACUUCUUGACAAGAUGGUUUUAAAUCCCUGGCUGUUCAUUCUGUGUAAUACUGCAGCCAUUUUCAGCUUCUCUGGGACAUCGCCAUCAAGUGAGAACCAUCAAUCAGAUAGCUGCUAUGACUGGGGAGUAUAUGAUGCCAAGUCUCUGCAGAUUUAUGAUGGAGAAUUGGGGAAGCUGACUUGCCCUCUUUUCUCUGAGGCCAGAUAUAACUAUAGUACCUCGCUGGCUUCUGGGCUCAGUCUCCUCUGGUACUGGAUCAGGCAGGGCCAAGACUUGGAGGAACCCAUUGAUUUCCGACUUCCAGACAACAGAAUCCUAAAGGAGCGGGAUGUUGUGUGGUUCCAGCCUUCAACUGUAAAUGACAGUGGGCUCUACAUCUGCAUGCUGAGAAAUAGCACAUUUUGCCAGCGAGUGGCUGUCCCUCUCAGCGUACUCCAGAAAGACCCCAGUUCCUGCGUCAGCUCAAAGAUGAAGCAUAACAAAAUGAUGAUUCCACUAGAGACCAAGGGGGAUUUGCACUGUCCAGAUAUUGAAGGAUAUUAUCCCCCAUCACUGCAACCAUCUAUACGCUGGUACAAGGACUGCCAGCCCCUGAAAGACAAGUCUUUUGAAAAGGAAGUAAUAGGUGACAGAAUUGUUAUCUACAUUAUGAGAAAGGACUAUGCAGGAAACUACACAUGCAUUGUUAAUUACACACUACACAACAGGUCACAUGUUUUGACUAGGACCACAACAGUUCGAGUAGUUGGAAUGCCCAGUAAAAGGAAACCUGUGAUUCAUCAUCCAAAUAAGGACCAAGAAGUGGUCAAAGUCAGUCUAGGUGAUACAGCUGAACUGUUAUGCCACGUCUAUUUUCCCUUCUUGAUGAAUUCACCAACUGAAGCCUGGUGGACUGUUGAUGGAAAGAAGCUGGAACCAUUCACAACUGAAAGAUACCAGCUUAGUUCAAGCUUUGAGUCAACAGAACUGGAUGACCGGACAAUCAAAAUUUUGUUAAAAAUUAUGCAUUUCACAGAAGAAGACUUAAAGCACAACUAUGUUUGUUUUUCUAAAAAUAAUGAGGGAGAAGUUAGCAGCCAGGCAUUUUUGAAGCUGAGAGUUACAUAUACAAUGGAACUGGCAUGUGGGCUGGGAAUCACUCUAUUUAUCGUGGUGUCUCUCGUCAUUGUGUACCAUGUAUACUGGUUAGAAUUGGUCCUGCUUUACCGGGCCAACUUUGGAACAGAUGAAGCCAACACAGAUGGAAAAGAGUAUGAUGUAUAUAUUUCUUAUGCACGGAAUGCAGAAGAGGAAGAGUUUGUCCUGCUCACACUACGCGCUGUCCUAGAGAAUGAAUUUGGCUAUAAAGUGUGCAUUUUUGACCGCGACAGCCUUCCUGGAGGAAAUGUCAGUGAUGCUGCUUUGAGUUUCAUUGUAAGGAGUCGGAGAGUGCUAGUUGUGCUGAGUCCAGACUACCUAACAGAAAAGAGCAUCAGUGUAUUGGAGUUCAGACUGGGUUUGCUGUGUCAGGAAAUGGGAAGCACCAAAGUCAUUGCCAUCAAGUUCAAGCCAGUGGCACUUCCCACCUUUGAAAAAUGGCAGCUGAGGGAAACAACCUUCCUAAAAUGGAAAGGGAAGAAAUCAAGAUGUCUACAUUCAGAAUUUUGGAAAAGGUUGAGAUUCGCUCUCCCACUGAGGGGUUUGUCAGCGGGUCCCCGUCUAAUAGACAGUUGUUCCUCCCAUUCAGACCUGAAUGCAAAUGCUCUCUCAGCAAAGAGAGACCUACCAAGACAAAAGACAGAUGGUGUCAUAGGACCAUACACUAACUUGAGGAGACAUGAAAGAAUUGCACCUCCUUGUCCAAAGUGUGUAAGGUGCCUACAGAAUGGGGCAACCUGGCGGUGGAAGACUGAGAGCAUUCAGGGAAGUCAUAAUGCAGUUCAGCCCAUACUGUCCACAUGUAGCAAUCCCAGUAAACACAAAAACCUACAUCUCUCUAUAGAGUAGGGCUGACCUGAGAAACAGUAAGUAAGUAGGUGAAUGUAGUGUACUAGAAGGCUCUGUGGGGUUUCAUUUUCUCUUCAGCAAUUGCCAAUGCAUGAUAGAUACAUUUGGUUAUGCAUGCAGUGCAUAAUUUUUUAUUUUGAGAUUGAAUGCAGUACAGAGUAUUGCAAAUUACUGUAAAAGCUGCAGAACUAAGUAUAAAUGAUAAACAGGUCCAGUGCAAAAGUAAUGAAAUCUGGAAAACAUCAACUGAUUAAAAUAUAAAGACUGACUUCUCUUGAAAAUAUUUGCCAGAAACUAAAUAUUUUUGCAGGUUUCCAUCAGCAGUGUCCCACAGAAUGUGUCCACUAGAUGUCACUGUGUAGUAACCAACAAUAGAUCUUGAUACAGCAUUCACAAAGUCCUUUAAUCCAAUUCAGGGCCAGAGCCUAAAAGUGGCAAAGGGUACAAGACAGGAAACAGGACUAGACAGGGCACUACUUCAGCACAGGGCCAAGUGACACACAUACACAGCCACAUCCAAACAUGGCCAACUUAGAACAGUCAAAACAUAUAACCUGGAUGUCUUUAGAGAUGUGGGAGAAAAACUGGAGCACACAGACAAAAGGCCAGAGAGACAUGGGGACAAUCUGCUAACAACACACAAACAAUAUUUGGAUAUGAGAAUCCAACCUGUUCUACUGGAUCUGUAAUGUGAGAGUGCUAACCACCAUCUCUUUUGUGAGCGUAUGAGAAAAUGUCCACAUCCUACCAAGAAACAAUAGAUUUGAUUGUGUGUUUUUGAAUUUUGUGUUUGUAAAUAUUUUAAAAAGUGCAGAGUUAUAAUAAUGAACUAUUUAAUAAACACAAGAUGGCAGACAAGCCUCACACACCAAAAGUUCCAUUAUUCU